Molecule: long non-coding RNA, 4969 nt
Filed under: Mus musculus (house mouse)
Lineage: Eukaryota; Metazoa; Chordata; Mammalia; Rodentia; Muridae
Description: RIKEN cDNA 1700001L05 gene
Source: RNAcentral
ACGGCAGUUGGUCUCUGAGGCGGCGGCGGUAACAGUUAAUCUCAGGAGGUCCUGCUCGGUCCGGGCGCCAUGCCUCUGGAUCGUCAGGUGGCCAUGGGGAACCUUGGCAAUCAGGACAUACUGGCCAUCUUCUACCGCCUGCGCUUCGUGCUUAGCAACCACAUAGAGGCCGCCUGGCGAGCCCGGAACCCGGCAAUGGACGUGGGAGGAGGAGGAGAAGGCGCCCGGUUGGUCAACGGUCGUAUUCGCCCACGCGGGUUCUGAGUGACUUGGAGCACUGCUCGCCCUCGCCCCAGAAUGCCUGGCAUAGGAUAUGACUGUCAAUAUUUAGCUCAACAAGAAGACAUGGCAUUUACACACAAAAGGAAGACAUGAUUCAUUGGUUUUAAGUAAAUACAACAUAAUGCAUCCUAAAAGUGCCUGGACUCUAGGGCUGACUGAUGGAGGACCCACCAUGACCCAUUAAUCCCCUAAUAAUUAACACAUGGAAUGGGGUACCAGUGAUGAAAAAUGACCACAAUUAACUCCCUUUCAAGACUCAUUCCCAGAUAUCUGAUCCGACCAAAACUGGGAUCUCUGGGUCCUUAAUUAACAGUGAAACAUCCUCUCAUUCUCUUGGUUCUGCUUCUGUUGAGAGGCCCUGCUUAAAUCACUUUCUUCAGCUCGUUGAAAGCAGCAGGACAAAAAAGCACUGCUACUACCACAAAGGAAGCUGGGCCACUUACCUUUGAAGAUGGCUUGCACACCUCAUCUUUAAGUCUUUCCCUAAGAAUGGAUGGUUUCAAAUGUGGGAGCAAGAGUUUUCAGAGCCUACGUUCGCCAUGUUCAGGUCCAGUCCCUGUGCUUCUCCAUGGCCCAUCAUUCUCCCUGUGUCUGCUCUGCCUCUCACUGGAUAGAUGUAGGUGAGAGAUGUGCACCCCAGUACUCACUGUUUUGGGUCCCAAGUAUACAUCUACAUUGAUGGCAAAGCUAUGAGCGUAGCUGCCCCUUCCUCAUUCACCACAUGCCUGUGUUCAUUUUGUCAUUGGUGAGCACUGUGCUGUGCAACCUUCUAGCCUAGAUCUGGCCCCAGCAUCCUGAAGCAUAUGAGGCACCUUAGAGAAAAGGUCUAAAUGGGCCUUAUAAGAAAAUGAGAAUACUUUCUGUUGCAUUGUGUUUUGAGUCUUAAGUUACAGGCACAAAGCUGCAUGAAUUAAACAUUCCUAAAGUCUGUCUACUCAGCCUCUUACACUAGUCUGUCCACAGGAAAGGCAUUGAAAUAAAAGGAAAGAUGAAGAGCAAUACAGUCCAGCUUAAGUCUCUGAUGUGAUGUAUUAAAUCCCUAGGAUGUGGUGAAAGUGAACGCUGACAGGUAUCCUUAGGCUCAGAGACCACAACCACCCAGACUUGAGUACUUUGUCCCCCUACCAUUGCUUUCCUGCUUCUAGACAGUUUUGUUUGGUGACGAGUUUCUUGGGAGUAAGGGGCAGCUGACUUCUAGUGGGAACACCAAUUAUAGGACUUUCCAUGUAAGUCUCUAACAGUUGAUGGGUCUUUAGGAUGCAUGUGAGAAGCACUGCUGUGGCAGGUACCAUGCCAAUGUUCAGCCUGUGAUUAACCUUCAGAGUGUCCAUUAGCAUGUAGCCACUUCAGUGUUCAAUCUACAGCCUCUCCGGUGGAGGUACAUUAGACCCGCUCUUCCUUGGCCUCUCUGGAGCUGGCCGGCUUUUCUUGUUUGUACAGUGUACAGUGCACUCUUCUGCUUCUACCUACAAGUAGAGUGAGUGUGAGUGGCCAUGCUGCUGAAAGUGGCCUUCAUGCAGAAGACUUCCAUUUUCAGAUUUUUGUUCUGAGGACUUUGGGCUUUCUGAAAGCUCUGAGCUAUUUCAUUUCCUCAAAACCUCCCAUAGCUGGGUUAAAUGCUUUUAUUGCUGCCUCCUGUGUUGAUGUGUGUACUGUCAAGAUUUGGAAGCAGAUAUAAAAUGUGAGUACACUCUCACUACAAGUAGUCAUCAGAAAAAGACCUCCUUUGGUCAUUCUUCACAGCUCAUUUCUUCCUGGUUUAUACUAUAAUGUUGCUUUUGAAUAGUUUCCUUGCUACUUAGCAAAAAGCUAAGGACCUCACUUGCCGAGUAACUGUCCAUCUGCCAGACCUUCCUUGAGUGGCUUGUCUGCCUCUUGUUGCUUUACCGGGCUAGUUGCUCCCAUGCUCACCCUGUGUUGCCAGACAGCAAGCUUUCCUGCUUUUGUUACCAACAGAGACAAGUCAACAGCCUGGAGAUUCUCUGUGUACAACUCCAGGCCAAGUACUGACAGAGACUACCUGGUAGAUUUAGAGAGUGAUACAGACUUAACAAAACGCAGCUCUGAGGGUACAGGGAGAGCUUCCCAUAGUUGGUGGCAUUGAACUAAAGCCUUUUGUUUGCGUGUUGUCAUAUACAAGCAUAUCGCUCCUUUCCAGUUAGCCCACUUACUGAGUGCCCGUCUUUUGCCAGGCAGCAUGCUUAUGUCUCAACUUUCGAGUAUUGCCAGUUCCCUAGCAAGUAGGAAUAACUGUCCCCAUUUCACAGAUGAGGAAACUGAAGCUUAGGGUAGUCACAGCAUCUGAAGAAGUCCUACAUCUCAGUAGCUGGGCUGAGCUUUUUGUAUAAUCCUGGUAGGGACAGUCUGAAUGUCAAAAGCUGAUUCUUAACCUGCUUUGUCAAGAGUAUGUUGAGUAUUGACUGCCAUUUUUCCCCCUCACAUUUAGGAUGCAAAUCAAAAUACCCAGAGACCAUCCUUUCAGCUGUGGACUUUAUAGGCACAGGCAUUAACACUGAAGGUCCCCUGGGAAAGAAAGGGGCUCUGUUCUCAUCUUUUUUUUUCUUUCGUGGUCUUUACCAGGUUAGCUUUUUGUUUUGUUUUGCCUUUUUUUUUUUUUUAAUCGUUUUAACUGUUUGCUUGGCUAACCAUUGAGUAUUUCUCUCUGCUUGUUCUUAAUCUGAAGCAGCAGUUCGGAGCUGCUAACAAGAAGAAAGCUACACGCUGCCAUUUGUGAUUGGUAUCUGCAUGAGCAAAAGACCCCCCCCCCCCAAGCAAUUGCUGACAUCUUUGAUGGCCACCAAGGGAACUUAGAGGGCCUGAAGUAGAGGAUCAGCCCUGGUGAUGGUUCAUGUAAAUCUGCUUGUGUGGUUGCCUGAAUCUUAGCUGCUUUGUCAGCCAUUUCUAGUAGACUGGCUCUUGAUGGUUUGUGCUGUGCACCCCUGCCCACCAUAAUGCAAUCUUCUCUGCUUGUCUGCCUUGGGGACAGUUGAUAUAAUCUGCCUUUGUAGUUCAGCCUUAACUUCUAUGUUACUCAUAUCCAGUAGGUUCUCUUUUGACAAUUUGCAGUGUGCACCCCUGCCCACCAUAAUGCAACCCUCUCUGCUUCUCUGCCCUGUAUUCUGGUCUGGUCACUCACUGACUGUCAUGAGAUAUGAUGGCCCCCGCUAGAUCUUCUCUUGGGACUGUAGACUGGUUGCAGCACUGUAACAGGCUUUAGGCUUUGUCUUUGGUUCAGAAAUGCAUUUGUUUGAGACUGCUGACUAGUUACGAAAUUCCAGUAGACUCUGACUUCAGAAAAUUUCAUUUGAGCUGGUCUGGUGGCUCGUGUCUAAAAUCCUAGCACUCAGGAGGCUGAAGUAUUAGCAUUGUCAUGUUGCAGUCAACCUGAGCUAACAUAGUUCCAGACCAGCUUGGGCUACAAAGCGACAUCCUGUCUCCAAAAAUAUAAUGAAAAGUUGGGGGUGUGGAAGAGGAAGAGACCAUGGAUAGGGCAGAUACUCGCACCUGUAUUGUGCCUUGUCCAUUUCUGAAAUCCUCUGGGAUCUAUGUUCAUUUCUGAUACUCGGAAUUUGGCACAGCUCUGCUUUGUGAGCACCUAUAAUUCUAGUUCUCACACCCAUGGUACCUAUGCCUGGUACCAUUAGCACUUCAGGAAUGCCAUAAAGAGCAUCUCUGAGGGCCCUGAGGUUCCAGCUGCCUCUCAUGUUAACAAGUUACAUCCUUUUCAGGCUCCUAGUUAAAGAGUAGGCCUGGAAAUCACCCCAUGGGCAUCUGAGUGUUAAUUAAGGGUCAUUCAUAUUCAAGAGGUUCAAGAAAAUGACUUGCUGCAAUGCAUAAAUAUGAAUUAGAUUAGAAGAACAGUUGGCUGGACAUUGGGAUUUGAGUUACUAGUUAAAACUAUGUGUAAAAGGAAAAAGACUCUUAUCUAAUCUUUUGUGAAAUUAUUCCAGACCCUCAUCUGAGACUCCCAACUAAGCCCCUGGGCCUACAGACCCUGUGAUCCAGACAGCUGAGGGAAGGACUAGACCCUGGGCAGAAGAAAGAAAGGAUAGAUAAAAGCCAGUACCUUGUGGCAACCACCUCAGGGUAAUUCAAAAAUGCCCCCAAAAUUGAUCUAACAAGAACCAGGGCACCUUUCUCAGAACUAGUGUAUAUUUGGCCAAAAGGAAGGGUACUAGGAACAUGACUGCUUUGUAAAGGGCCAGCCAGACAGCAGCCCCAGCCCCAGUGUGGCUGUGGUCUCCAGAUAGGUAGUAGUAGCCUCUGGAUCAAGGAAGCCCAGGGACUUGAAUGUCAUCAGUGGAACUUUGUGUGACACUUCCGGUAGGUGGUCAUGGUUAUCACAUUUGGGUAUGAAAUAUCACCCCAAAGCACUGAUAGGUUGAAGGUUCCUCAGCAAGUGCUACUGUUGAAGAAUUAUUGUAUCAUAAGGGUGAUGACAUCAGAGGUUUAAUCCACUGAUUAUUUCAUAGUUUGACAGUUAGCUCAUCGGGCCUAUUUGUAGGAUGUGGGACACUGAAAGACUGUAUCUUGCCCUCAACCCAGUCUCCAUUCUAUCAUGAGGGAAGCACUCUUCUUUGCCAAGUGUUUCUUUCUGUGGUGUUCAGUUUUGCCUCAGGCCUACAGCCAUAAGGCCAAAGAACCACGGAACAAAGCCAUGAGCCAAAAUAAAUCUUUAUUCAUUUCA